Molecule: long non-coding RNA, 1739 nt
Filed under: Phoenix dactylifera (date palm)
Lineage: Eukaryota; Viridiplantae; Streptophyta; Magnoliopsida; Arecales; Arecaceae
Description: long non-coding RNA (PDAC_LNC006619)
Source: RNAcentral
UACAGGCUUCCAAAAGGAAUCUAUUCAAGAUAAUAAUAAUACUUGCAAGUGCUGCAGCAAUCAUAUCCUUGUGUUCUCUGGUAAUUCUCUUGCAACCGAGAAAUGAACGUGAAAACUCGCCGAAGGGGAUGCAUAUAGAGCUAUUGAAUACUUCUGCUAGGAAAGAAGCCUACAAAUGCCAUGUUUAAAGAUGUUCCAGUAUAGACCUUAAUAAGUUCGUCGAGAUGGCUAUCCAGAAAGAGGUAUAUAGAAUUUGGAUCCACAGAUUCUGCAAGAUGCAGUUGAAGAAGUUGAUAGCAAUAUUGGAAAUGAAAAUUUUGCUAGGAUGAGACUCGGGAAUUGCAUAAUUUCAUCGACUAAAAUUGGUCUCCUGUGCCCAAACACAUCUCCACCAGCCCCUCCAUCAGCAUAAUAUAAGCUCAGGUACAGGAAACCUUGCUUCCGAACAAAAAACAAAUGCACCAUGGGAAGUUCAAUGACUCGCCUCCAAAAUGACGAACACUGAAAUGCCAGCAUUUUCAAAUGCAUAUAACUAGAAACAUACCAUCAAGAAGUUCAAUUGAUAACAUAUGAUAACUUUAUUUACAUUGAGUUCUUAUUCAUUUAAAACAAGCCUUUGCUGCUUCCCUUCGCUAAGGGGUGAUCCCUCUGCAGCAUUUGUGGCUUUCAGUCAUCAAGAGGAAAUUGAGAAAAACCACUCACAUAUUGCAGUAUAAUACCUUUAAACAUGGACUAUGGCCAUAUAAAGGGAAAAAUGUCAGCAUAACAAUCCCACUGUACAUAACAGGCCCAAUUUAUGCUGAAUGUCAGAUGCAACUCCAGCAAGAACCUAAUGAACAUGGUAACUUAACACUACGAGAAGUUGGAAGUGCUGUCCUCAUUAAGCGGUGUGCCCAUGUCAUGCAUCCUCUGAUGAACCAAGGGAUACUCUGUGCACUACCUUGGCUCCCCUUCCCUUCGCCAUGUAAAGUCCUAUGUGAUGGAGCAGCUCCUGGAGACAAAUUGAAAAAUAAAUUUAAAACUUCUAUGGUAUCCAAAAUCGUUAUGUGCAUUUAAGUGUCAACCCAACUAAAUUAAUUUAACUUGCUGAAUGCUAGAUAUCCCAUUCCUAUUCCAAUACAUUGAAGGCAAAAAGUGCACUUCUCUGGAAACAUGAAGAGGAUGGAGGAGGUCAUGGAAUCCAAUGGACCUCUCUUACCCAGAUAACUUUUAUUUUAAAGGAAAAUCUGAAUAAUUUUUUUGAGCAUAUCUUUCUCCAGAUAGCUAAAUAGUCAUUUAUUUAUUAGGUAGAAGGAUCAAUUACGACAUAACAGUAGGACUAGUGUCCCUUAUCAGGGAACAGAUAUAUCGAGAAGAAAACUUAUUAGAUUUAAAACACAAAGCUAGAAUUCUCUUCCUGUACUUUACCAAGGAUAAGCAUUGAUUGUUUUUUCUAAUAACUAACUUAUGAGAUACUAAUUUGUAGGUCAAAGGUUCAUAAUACCUGUGCUAUACUGAGAAUGAGUAUGUAUUAUAAUUUGUAGGUAAAGUGUCCAUAAUACACAGAAAGAAGGCACAGCUCAUCAAUUUACCCGAGUUAUUUAUCAGGACCAUCAGGUGCACAAGUAUAGAUAAUCAGUUAGCUUUUGCUACUGAAUGGAAUUUCUGUAGCAAUUAUGCAAUUGAUCAUUGCCACAAAGCAGUCAGCUUUUUGCAAUACAUGCUAGACCAGCAGCAUUCAAAGAUCUGACAAAGGGUUC